GAUGAACGCUAGCUACAGGCUUAACACAUGCAAGUCGAGGGGAAACGACAUUGGAAGCUUGCUUCCGAUGGGCGUCGACCGGCGCACGGGUGAGUAACGCGUAUCCAACCUGCCCACCACUUGGGGAUAACCUUGCGAAAGUAAGACUAAUACCCAAUGACGUCCAUAGAAGGCAUCUGAAGUGGAUUAAAGAUUUAUCGGUGAUGGAUGGGGAUGCGUCUGAUUAGCUUGUUGGCGGGGUAACGGCCCACCAAGGCGACGAUCAGUAGGGGUUCUGAGAGGAAGGUCCCCCACAUUGGAACUGAGACACGGUCCAAACUCCUACGGGAGGCAGCAGUGAGGAAUAUUGGUCAAUGGGCGAGAGCCUGAACCAGCCAAGUAGCGUGCAGGACGACGGCCCUAUGGGUUGUAAACUGCUUUUAUAAGGGAAUAAAGUGAGUCUCGUGAGACUUUUUGCAUGUACCUUAUGAAUAAGGACCGGCUAAUUCCGUG
Molecule: ribosomal RNA, 492 nt
Filed under: uncultured bacterium
Lineage: Bacteria
Description: bacterial SSU rRNA
Rfam family: Bacterial small subunit ribosomal RNA
Source: RNAcentral